This 65-nucleotide transfer RNA is filed under the name Heterocypris spadix. RNAcentral describes it as "tRNA-Asn". The record is from RNAcentral. Lineage: Eukaryota; Metazoa; Arthropoda; Ostracoda; Podocopida; Cyprididae.
UUAGUUAAAUCCAAAUCGAGGAGUGUCACUGUUAAUGAUAUUAAUGAGGAGACCCUCUAACUAAA